GCCCUCGUAGCUUAAAAUAAAGCAUGGCACUGAAGAUGCUAAAAUGAGCCCUCAUAAGCUCCGAAGACA
This 69-nucleotide transfer RNA is filed under the name Notacanthus chemnitzii (spiny eel). RNAcentral describes it as "tRNA-Phe". It matches the Rfam family "tRNA". From Rfam's summary of the family: Transfer RNA (tRNA) molecules are approximately 80 nucleotides in length. Their secondary structure includes four short double-helical elements and three loops (D, anti-codon, and T loops). Further hydrogen bonds mediate the characteristic L-shaped molecular structure. tRNAs have two regions of fundamental functional importance: the anti-codon, which is responsible for specific mRNA codon recognition, and the 3' end, to which the tRNAs corresponding amino acid is attached (by aminoacyl-tRNA synthetases). tRNAs cope with the degeneracy of the genetic code in two manners: having more than one tRNA (with a specific anti-codon) for a particular amino acid; and 'wobble' base-pairing, i.e. permitting non-standard base-pairing at the 3rd anti-codon position. Lineage: Eukaryota; Metazoa; Chordata; Actinopteri; Notacanthiformes; Notacanthidae. The record is from RNAcentral.